RNAcentral lists this non-coding RNA (790 nucleotides) under Opatrum sabulosum. Lineage: Eukaryota; Metazoa; Arthropoda; Insecta; Coleoptera; Tenebrionidae. The record is from RNAcentral.
UAGUAAAUAAUUUUUUAUAUGUAAAGUUUUAUUAUGGCUUUGGAAUUGGCUUAUUAAUUUUUGUAUAUGUAAUUUUUUGAUUUUUUUUGUUUUUAAAGAGAAUUGUUUUUUUUUUGCAGUAUAUAGAUUUAAUUAUUAAGUGGUUUUAGAAUUAGGAAUUUAAUUUAACAUGAACAAAAUUUGUGCCAGCAGUAGCGGUUAUACAAAUUAUGUUAGUUAAUUUUAUUUAGUUUAAUUAAAAGUCAAUUUUAAUAAAUUUAUGUUUAGAUUUUUUAGGUGAAAUUUUAAAUUUAACUUAAAUUUUUUUUUUGUUUUUGAGGUUAGGAAAUUUCUUUUUUAAACUAGGAUUAGAUACCCUAUUAUUGGAAAUGUUAAUUUUUUACUAUGAUUACUAAGAGUUAUGGUCUUUAAAGUUAAAAAAUUUGGCGGUAUUUUAGUCUAUUCAGAGGAACCUGUUUUUUAAUUGAUAAUCCACGAUAAUUGUUACUUUAUCUUUAAAUUUGCAUAUCGUCGUUUAUAAAAAUUUUAGGAGGAUUGAAAUUUUUGAGGAUUUUUAUAAUAAAAUAUUUCAGAUCAAGGUGUAGUUUAUGAUAAAGUUAAAAUGGGUUACAAUAUAGUUAUAUGUGGUUUUUAUUUUGAAAUAUAUAAAAUAAAAUGGAUUUGAUAGUAAGUUCUUUAUUUUUGGGAAUUGAUUUAGCUCUAAAAUAUGCACAUAUCGCCCGUCGCUUUCAUUUUAAGAUGGAAUAAGUCGUAACAAAGUAGGCUUAUUGGAAAAUGAGCCUGGAAUGAU